This 500-nucleotide ribosomal RNA is filed under the name uncultured Glomeromycotina. RNAcentral describes it as "partial small subunit ribosomal RNA". It matches the Rfam family "Eukaryotic small subunit ribosomal RNA", at positions 591 to 1092 of the family's 1831-position model. The record is from RNAcentral. Lineage: Eukaryota; Fungi; Glomeromycota.
CCAAUAGCGUAUAUUAAAGUUGUUGCAGUUAAAAAGCUCGUAGUUGAAUUUCGGGGUUAGUAGGUUGGUCAUGCCUCUGGUAUGUACUGAUCUCACUGAUUCCUCCCUCUUGACGAACUGUAAUGUCAUUAAUUUGGUGUUGCAGGAAAUCAGGACUGUUACUUUGAAAAAAUUAGAGUGUUUAUAGCAGGCUAAGGCUUGAAUACAUUAGCAUGGAAUAAUGAAAUAGGACGUUUGAUCCUAUUUUGUUGGUUUCUAGGAUUGACGUAAUGAUUAAUAGGGUUAGUUGGGGGCAUUAGUAUUCAAUUGUCAGAGGUGAAAUUCUUGGAUUUAUUGAAGACUAACUACUGCGAAAGCAUUUGCCAAGGAUGUUUUCAUUAAUCAAGAACGAAAGUUAGGGGAUCGAAGACGAUCAGAUACCGUCGUAGUCUUAACCAUAAACUAUGCCGACUAGGGAUCGGAUGAUGUUAAUUUUUUAAUGACUCAUUCGGCGCCUUACG